CAGUAGCCGCGGGAAUACGUAGGGUGCAAGCGUUAAUCGGAAUUACUGGGCGUGAAGCGUGCGCAGGCGGUUUGUUAGGACAGAUGUGAAAUCCCCGGGCUUAACCUGGGAACUGCAUUUGUGACUGGCAAGCUAGAGUAUGGCAGAGGGGGGUGGAAUUCCGCGUGUAGCAGUGAGAUGCGUAGAUAUGCGGAGGAACACCGAUGGCGAAGGCAGCCCCCUGGGCCAAUACUGACGCUCAUGCACGAAAGCGUGGGGAGCAAACAGGAUUAGAUACCCCCGUAGUCCCUGUCUCUUAUAC
This 301-nucleotide ribosomal RNA is filed under the name uncultured bacterium. Its description in RNAcentral is "partial 16S ribosomal RNA". It matches the Rfam family "Bacterial small subunit ribosomal RNA", at positions 509 to 807 of the family's 1533-position model. The record is from RNAcentral.